UGCCCUUGUUAGAACAUGCUGUCUGUCAC
Molecule: non-coding RNA, 29 nt
Filed under: Mus musculus (house mouse)
Lineage: Eukaryota; Metazoa; Chordata; Mammalia; Rodentia; Muridae
Source: RNAcentral